AAAGGCUAAGCCAUGCAUGUCUAUGUUCAAAUAACCUAUAACGGUGAAACCGCGAACGGCUCAUUAUAACAGCUACAAUGUACUUGAUCUUGAUUGUCCUACGUGGAUAACUGUGGUAAUUCUAGAGCUAAUACAUGCACCAAAGCUCCGACUUUUGGACGAGCGCAUCUAUUAGAUUAAAACCAAUCGGGCUUCAACCCGUCAUUUGGUGACUCUGAAUAGCUAUGGCUGAUCGCAUGGUCUUGUACCGGCGACGUAUCUAUCAAGUGUCUGCCUUAUCAACUUUCGAUGGUAGUUUAUGUGCCUACCAUGGUUGUAACGGGUAACGGAGAAUAAGGGUUCGACUCCGGAGAGGGAGCC
RNAcentral lists this ribosomal RNA (360 nucleotides) under Contracaecum rudolphii. RNAcentral describes it as "partial 18S ribosomal RNA". It matches the Rfam family "Eukaryotic small subunit ribosomal RNA", at positions 39 to 396 of the family's 1831-position model. Lineage: Eukaryota; Metazoa; Nematoda; Chromadorea; Rhabditida; Anisakidae. The record is from RNAcentral.